This is a non-coding RNA of Podospora fimiseda, 109 nucleotides long. The record is from the annotation of a GenBank genome assembly. NCBI's taxonomy places the organism in Eukaryota, Fungi, Ascomycota, Sordariomycetes, Sordariales, Podosporaceae.
ACUCCCGUGGUCUAGUGGUUAAGAUUUCGCUCUUAUAUCUUUCAUCCUUCCUUGAUUGGAAAGGUCAAAUAUUAUGCGACGGUCGCGGGUUCAACCCCCGCCGGGAGUA